Salmo salar (Atlantic salmon) is the source of this 46-nucleotide non-coding RNA. The record is from Rfam. NCBI's taxonomy places the organism in Eukaryota, Metazoa, Chordata, Actinopteri, Salmoniformes, Salmonidae.
GCAAAGGUUCUUUUUAGAACCAUACCGUUUUUUUUUAUUCUGGUUU